This is a long non-coding RNA of Peromyscus californicus insignis, 1474 nucleotides long. RefSeq lists it as uncharacterized. NCBI's taxonomy places the organism in Eukaryota, Metazoa, Chordata, Mammalia, Rodentia, Cricetidae. The transcript has 4 exons. The record is from RefSeq and is a predicted model, not a curated record.
CUUUGUUUGUGUAUCCUGCAUUUGGUGUAAACAGCUUAGAUGCAAGAAUGUAGAACAUUCGGUAGCAAACUCCUGCCCUCCAGGGUUCCUCCAUUGUGCUCCCCUCGCUCGGACAUGGUGAACGGGUGGCGGUAGCAUGGGCGCUACUGCAACAAAUGGAGGUCCCACUGAGAUACUACCGAGAUCCGAGAAAGAAGGGACAAGCUGAUGGACAUCCUUGGAAGGCUGGCCAGUAAUUUAAAGAAAAAAAGAAAAGGACAAUGAGGUGCCUCUUUGGGUUCCUGAGCGAUGCAUGUGCCCUGUGGCUGCUGCUGAAUCCCAACAUGGCAGAGAACUAUUGGGCCUUCGUGAAAAACUCUCCCCUUUUGAUGCCAAUGGGGAUUGAGAGCCCAAUAUGGCCAGCCUUGGCAAGCAUUAACAUAAGCCUAGGAACUGUAGCCAUUCAGUUGCAUUCUUCAGAAGAGCUGCCAGUUUAAGUCGUGCUGGGAUCAAGAAAAAUGGGCCUUGGUGGUUCAUGUUCCUGGAGCUGUGUCCAUGCCAGUGGACCAUGGCAGUUAGACACAGAUGAUGCUCACACGCUCCAGAAGAGAAUCUGACAUCGCUGUUGCCGUUGUUGCUGUUAUAGCAGUGGUGGCCACCACUGCUACUGUUUCUGGGAUUGCUAUUUCAUAAUUGGUUACUACAGCUAGCACAGUGGAGACCCUGGCAGCAAAAGUAGCUACCACAGUUAGUUAAUCUUUCAUUCUAUUGGGCAUGAUAAAUUUAAUUCAACAGUUAUAUACAUUUCAAUUGGCUUUGAAAGAUGUAAAAUUUAUAAAACUCAAGUUCCACUUGCCUGUGGGAUACCACCUAUUGAGGACUCCAACUUGCAGUAAGGCUCUUUUAGGAAGGGAAUGGCUCAUUUGCUUUUAGCCUACUGGCUUAUGGGUGGGUUAGGACUUCUGUUGGUCUUUUCUGUGUUGCACAGAUUGUAAGCCCAGUGCCACUUUGAGAUCUUUGGCAGCAGUUAACUCUACAGUUCACAUGGUUGAGUCUGUAUGAUAAUGAGUAUUCAGAGAUGGGUAAUACCUGGGGGGCAGUCAUCAACCUAAGCCAGAGCGCCUGGUGGCCUGGGCAGGUGUGUCCAUGAUGGGUAAGGUGACCUGCUGACAUCCUAGGCAACCUAAGUCAGAAGCUCAUUUUUUAGUAAAAAGGGGGGACCUGUGGGCCAUAUCGAGUAAACUGUUGUCUGCUUGCCAACCUUGACCAGAUGUCCUCCCUAUGCUGAUUCCCUGCUGAUUUCCUUCUUCCUGAAUGAUCACCAGAGGUUCUUUGUUUGUGUAUCCUGCAUUUGGUGUAAACAGUUUAGAUGCAAGAAUGUAGAACAUUCGGUAGCAAACUUCUGCCCUCCGGGGUUCCUCCAUUGUGCUGUAAGCCUGUAUUUAAGGUUUCCUCCCUCUUUCAAUAAAGGCAUUUGGCAUUCUGCUGGGGCGAA